CUUUGAGCUUAACAUGCUGUGAACAGACAGUGUCUGGAGAGGAUGACAGGAGUGGGAGAGGAAGAUGCCGCUGCAGAGACUUCUAGCAACGAACUCCGACACUGACAUCCCUGGGCAAAUCACUGCCACUUGUUUGAAAAACAGCCUCAAGUGGAUGUCAUGCUGACGAUGCUGAGAUGACUUGAGCCAAAUGAAAUUGCAUGUAUGACUGUUCAUUUCUCCUCACUCCACUCACGGUAGGUGCCAGAGACAGAGGGCCUCAAGCCAGGGAAGGAGGAUGUGACAUUGCUUUCCUCUUCGUAGAGGCGAUGUCACCCUUGGGCACUUGCUCCUAGAGAGCUGCAUGCAGCUGGCAACUGCACCAGCACAGCAAUAUCGCCCACAGCAGGCUCCGCUGAGGCCAAGCCCCACCCCGCCCAGGUUCCUACUCUCCCUUCUGCUUUGCAUUUUGUGAUGAUGGCAAAUCACUCUUUUCCAAACGAAAAAAGAAAAAUGCAAGAUCCAGUCUUGAGAAGGAAUGUUCUCACUUCUCAAAGAGCUACUGGUCUAUAAUGCGAGA
RNAcentral lists this long non-coding RNA (559 nucleotides) under Homo sapiens (human). RNAcentral describes it as "HSALNT0340332". The record is from RNAcentral. Lineage: Eukaryota; Metazoa; Chordata; Mammalia; Primates; Hominidae.